UCAUGGUAUUCCACGAGUUCAGAAACCUUCUUGUCAUAAAAACAAUUUUUUCUUGUUUUCAUCUAGAACUUUCUUUUCUCCGACUGUGUUCUACUUCUGCCAUUUUACAUUGUCCUUGGCUCUUUGUUUACACUUCUAGACAGGGAAAAAGUAAGAAAUGAACAUACUCAUGAUGACCUAUCUGUUCUUCAAACAAUUUCAAAUGCAUGUGUUGGAUAGACUUCCAGAUUUAAGACAAAAUGGACUUGCCCAUGAAGUGUUGCAAUGACACAUAUGUAGAAUGGGAGAUUGGUUUGCAGCGGAUGCUUUUGUUUUUGUUCAUUCUUAGCUCUUUGAUUGUGUUUCCAUUUUAUUUUCUUUUUUCCUUUUUAUUAGGAAUAGAUAUUCUUUUGAUCAUACGAGGAACAAAAUAGCAUGUAGUCGUAGAGAUGUGAAUUUUAUUACAUGGAUGAAUUUUUGGUU
This is a long non-coding RNA of Carya illinoinensis, 462 nucleotides long. RefSeq lists it as uncharacterized. The record is from RefSeq and is a predicted model, not a curated record. Lineage: Eukaryota; Viridiplantae; Streptophyta; Magnoliopsida; Fagales; Juglandaceae. The transcript is spliced from 2 exons.